RNAcentral lists this ribosomal RNA (571 nucleotides) under uncultured Glomeromycotina. Its description in RNAcentral is "SSU rRNA". It matches the Rfam family "Eukaryotic small subunit ribosomal RNA", at positions 548 to 1114 of the family's 1831-position model. Lineage: Eukaryota; Fungi; Glomeromycota. The record is from RNAcentral.
UUGGAGGGCAAGUCUGGUGCCAGCAGCCGCGGUAAUUCCAGCUCCAAUAGCGUAUAUUAAAGUUGUUGCAGUUAAAAAGCUCGUAGUUGAAUUUCGGGAUUGACACAUCGGUCGUGCCUUAAGGGGUAUGAACUGGUGUAGUCAAUUUCUCACCUUCUGGAGAACCGCGAUGCCCUUAAUUGGGUGUCGCGGGGAACCAGGACCUUUACUUUGAAAAAGUUAGAGUGUUUAAAGCAGGCAUUUUGCUUGAAUACAUUAGCAUGGAAUAAUAAAAUAGGACGGCAUGAUUCUAUUUUGUUGGUUUCUAGGACCACCGUAAUGAUUAAUAGGGAUAGUUGGGGGCAUUAGUAUUCAAUUGUCAGAGGUGAAAUUCUUGGAUUUAUUGAAGACUAACUACUGCGAAAGCAUUUGCCAAGGAUGUUUUCAUUAAUCAAGAACGAAAGUUAGGGGAUCGAAGACGAUCAGAUACCGUCGUAGUCUUAACCAUAAACUAUGCCGACUAGGAAUCAGACGAUGUUAAUUUUUUAAUGACUCGUUUGGCACCUUACGGGAAACCAAAGUGUUUGGGUUC